This 7222-nucleotide long non-coding RNA is filed under the name Homo sapiens (human). RNAcentral's name for it is "HSALNT0264907". The record is from RNAcentral. Lineage: Eukaryota; Metazoa; Chordata; Mammalia; Primates; Hominidae.
CCCGCCUUGGCCUCCCAAAGUGCGGGGAUUACAGGUGUGAGCCACGGUGCCCAGCCAGUACUACACCAUUUUACAUCAGGGACUUGAACAUCUGUGGAUUUUGGUAUCUGUAGCGGUCCUGGAACCAAUCCCACGCACAUAGACUGUACAAAUGGCCCUUAAUCAUAUGAAAAAACAUUAACUCUCUCUCAAAUAUAACAAAAAUAUAAAAUUAUACCGAAAACCUAUUUCUUCCAUAUCAGAUUGGCAGACAUCCCAAACCAUAGCAAGACAACACUGGCAGGGUGGUGAGGUCACAGGCACUCUCACACAUCACAAACAAUACAACCUCUGGGUAGGGUAAUUAGGCUGUAUCUAUCAACAUUAUAAAAACCAGUAGCUUACAUCAUAAUGGGCCAAACUUCCUGAUAUAUUUUGAAAAAAACCCAAAACUCCUAGAAGUUAGGCAGAGAAAAAGACCAACACCCCAGUGGAAAAAGGGGCGUUAAAGCAGUUCACAGAAGAAGGAACUACAAAUGACCCUUAAUUGUAUGAAAUUGUUAGCUCUAACCAUUGCAUUUCUGGGAAUUUAUCCCACAGAUAUAUUUGCACCUAUAUGAAAUGACAUAUGUAUAUUACUCAUUGUAGCAUUCUCCAUAGUAGCAAAAUAUUGGAAAUAACGUUACUGCCUAUCAAUAGAAGACUGAUAGCCUAAAUUAUGGCACAUCCAUAUAAUACAAUACCAGAUAGCUGUAAAGAAGAAUGAAAACACUUUUUUUUUUUUUUUUGCGAUGGAGUCCACUCUGUUGCCCAGGCUGGAGUGCAGUGUCACAGUCUUGGCUCACUCCAACCCCUGCCUCCCAGUUUCAAGCGAUUCUCUUGCCUCAGCCUCCCAAGUAGCUGGGAUUACAGGUACACACCACCAUGCCCGGCUAAUUUUUUUGUAUGAGAACACUUUUUUGUACUAUUUUGGAAAGAACCACUAGAUGUACUAUUAAAAGAAAAAUGCAUAUACACCUACUAUGUACCCACAACACUUAAAAUUUAAAAUUAAAAAAAAGAAAAAUGCAAAGUUCCAAACAGUAUGUAUAAUAUGCUAUCUGCUAAUUAAAAUGCUAAAAGAAGAAGAAACAGUGGACAGCAAGAAUACACACAUUCAUGUUUGCUUAUAUAUGGGUAAAGAAACUCAGGAAAGUUACAGGAGGAGCUAAUAACAGUGGUUAAUUACAAUGGUAGAGGAGAGGCUUGGCAGAUAAGGGACUCGUUUGCAGAUAUGACUUUCCUUUGUGUACAUUUCUAUAUAUUAUUUUACUUCUUCUGAAAAUGCCACAUAAUUUGCAAUAAAUGAUUCACUCCUUAGCUCCAAAAGCAAGUCCUUUAUCAAAAUGCAAAUGUUCCAGAGGGAUGUAGCCAGAUUCUGUGGACCGCCGUCUUUUUCACCCUUAAGAAUCCGUCGCUAUGAUUUCUCUUCCUCUGCUUGGAGACCUUUAGAGAGCCAGCCUGCAGCUGCUCAGAGCAUUGACUACUAAACAGCUCACAGUUGCUAUUGCUGAAAAUGCCCGGUGGUUAUGCCUUGCCUGACCAGGGGUAGCCCACAGCUGAUGACAGGCCCCCUUGCCUCAAGGUGGGACAACUUCGGUGGUGCCAUUCAUAUCCAGAGCUGCCUGGAAUCAGGCCGAGGCUGGACAUCAGCCGACCCCGCAUCUUUGCUGAGUUUAUUCCUCUGCUGUACUUCCCUCGCUUCCCUCACCUCCUUCUUGGUUUCUCCUGAGAGCCUCCCUCAAUAAAUCACUUACCCCAGAAUCCUUGUCUCAGACUCCGCUUCUAGGACCCAACUUAAGACAUUCACAAAAUAAAUCACAUUGAUGGAAAACAGAUCCCAUUCUCCAAAAUGAAUAACCAGUAGGCACUUGUGACUAGCACAAGCAUCAGCAUAUCCACAUGGUGCUAAACUAACACCAACCCAAAGCAGAUAGUGCUGGGUGGACUCGGUACAAGUUAAUAGCUCAUGGGUCUCCAUCCCCAACACCUUCAGACCCAAGGCUCCAGGGCUGCCAGCCUGAGAACCCUAAGUCAUGAUUUUGGGCACUUUGGCUGGAUUUCCUAGCAACUGGCUGAGAGCAGGACAGGUAAACAGAGUUGGGAGGAGGAAGCAAAAAAGGCUAGAGUGGACAUCAGUUGACUUUGCCUGCCAUGGUAGAGACUUUCAGUCAUCCACCAUAAUCCAUCCCCAUUCUGCUGCACAGAAGUAUUGUGGCUGAGACACCUGCUUUUCUCCACCCCUCUAGUUAAUGUGACUAAAUUCUCCCUAUGGAAUGGGAAUGGAAGGGCCAUACCCAGGCCAGUGUCUUCAGGUAGGGGCUGUGACCCUUCCACACCUGUACCAGACACAAUCAUCAUCUCACUGGGUUUUGCCAGCUUUCAGGUCUAUGUGCUGAAAGCUGCUUACAGCUAACCUCUGCAGAUUUUCCUGGCACAGGAGGCAUGCUUGGCCAGUGCACAGGGCAAGUUGGAAGGGCCCUAAUGUCAGCAGCCUUCAACCAAUGAUGGAUGGAAAGUUGCAGACAGUGUCCUAUGCAUCUGCAGUGGGAUAACUCUGAGACGUGUGCUGUACUGCCUCCUAGAGGGCCCAGGGUGAUUAAGCACCAGUUACCCACAGCAGUAACUUCCUUGAUUCUGUUCCCCACAUGGGCACUUUUCUUCCUGUCACACCUCCCCAAUCCCCUGCAGAUACUUUCUGGGAUUGCUUCCUAAACAAUCCACUUGAACUUUUUUUUUUUUUCUUUUUUUUGACAUGGAGUAUUGCUCUUGUUGCCCAGGUUGGAGUGCAAUGGCACGAUCUUGGCUCACUGCAACUUCCGCUUCCUGGGUUCAAGCAAUUCUCCUGCCUCAGCCUCCUGAGUAGCUGGGAUUACAGGCGCCUGCCAUCACGCCUGGCUAAUUUUUGUAUUUUCAGUAGAGACGGGGUUUCGCCAUGUUGGCCACGCUGGUCUCAAACUCCUGACCUCGUGAUCUGCCCGCCUCGGCCUCCCAAAGUGCUGGGAUUACCGGCGUGAGCCACCGUGCCCAGCCCCACUUGAACUUUAAUCCUUGCCUCGGAAUUGGCUUCUGGGGAAACCAAAAAUAUAUUAAAAAAAGAGAGACCAGGACCUUAAAAAGAGCCCAAGUUGUUGAGCUCCCUGCCAAGUCACCCCCAGGUAUCUCUGCCCACCAGCUUGCAUGAGCCAGAUCCUCAGUGCAGGUUUUUCCAAUCAGUCAUUUGUUCUUCCACCCAACGCUCAAGAUUUGCUUCUUCAAGACAACUCUCUGAUCAGCUGAGACCCAUAGACACCCAGCUUCUACCACACAUAUGAUGGCAUUAUCCUAGGGCAUGGCAGAGCAACGCAAGGGAAAACUCUGGGCCCCCAAGUGAUGUCAUGGAGGAGAACUCUCAACCCAGAACUACUACGUGAGAAACAACGCUCUCUCUUCUUUAAGCCAUAGGUGUGUUGGGAAUCUUUGUUACAGCAGCACGCCUGAUCUUUUGUUUUGUUUUGUUUUGUUUUAGAGAUGGAGUCUUGCUCUUUCGCCAGGCUGGAGUGCAGUGGUGCGAUCUUGGCUCACCAUGUUGGUCAGGCUGGUUUCAAAUCCCUGACCUCAAGUGAUCCUCCCACCUUGGCCUCCCAAAGUGCUGGGAUUACAGGUGUGAGCCACCGCACCCGGCCCAGCCAUGCCUUGUCUUAACUAGCAUAGCCGCCCAACGUCCACUUCUUUUGGCCAUGUUGUCCUGAUUCUGCUGGAGAAUCCCUUUCCCACUGCUCCCAGACCAGUGGUGUAGCUGACCUGCGCUCUCUCCACUCAAUUCAGGGGAGGGAGGGGUUUAGGCCUGGGCUAAGAGAGCUGCACAUUUCCCAGGGCACAGUGAUUAGUUGAGGGUGGGUCCCAGAGCCAAAUCUGCCCAAGAUCUUAGCCUGAAAGAGAAACCCUCCUGCUGAGUGACUGCACUGUGAGGCAGAAGUCCAGAGCUGUGGGUGGCCAUCCAGCCUCCAUUUGCGCCUGCCUGAGAAAGAAGCCACCAUGGGGGAAAUCGAGCUAAAAGACGGAGAGGGAGGUAAGAGAGGAUGACAUCACAUAAGCACCAGAUCUGGCCACCCCUGAAACUGGAACAACCCUAAGCUUUACAGCUACUACAUUCCCUUUUCUGCUGAAGUUGUUUUACACUGGGUUUCUGUCUCUUGCAACCAAGAGCUCUGUUAAAUAAAAACCUGACCCUAAGGAGAACGUUAGCUGGUUCACAAUUCCCUGUGCAAAACAGGCACAGGUCAGCUGCCCCAGCCUGUCGUUUGGAUAUUCCUUUCUAAGAACGCUCACUUUUGUUGUCUACAUGACCCAGAUAACCAAGGAGAAAGCAAAUCAACCGCCUUCCAGCGGCGCCUUCCUUGGCAGCAAGUGCUAAGAGAGAACACAAUGUGAGUACUCUGCCCUCUGGAGUCAGGGUUGAUCCUCAGCACUUGCUGUCCUGGGAGGCUGCACCUGUGACACUUGAGUGCCAGGUUCAACCCCUACUGCUGCUGCUGCUGCCUGAAUGGGGCCAUUUAGACUGUUGAGUGCUACAGCCUCAGCCCAGGAACCCGGAGCUUCACAUGAGGCAGAGCAGGGCCCCAGGGUCCCUGAAACUUGCCAGUUCAAACAGCAGAGGGGUGAGGACUCCCCAGUCAGCCCUGGUCUCAUACCUGCCUCUGCAUGGUCCCAGUCCAGCCUGAGGCCUUUGCUUUCUUUUUUGAAGGGAAGGUGAGGAGAGAGGGGGAAAAUAGAGGUGUUCUGACUAGACUUAGGAUUCCUGGCCUCUGCCUCUGACCGCCAGAGGACAGCCUCUGCAGUUGCCUCAUCUACUCAUGAAAACAGGCCUGUGACCCCAGGGGUGCUCUGAGGAUUCUUCCAGAAAACAUCUGCCCAGCUAGGACUACCUAGCUCACUGCCCAAAAAGGGUUCAUUUCCUUUCCUUCUGAAACAAAAGCGCUUAAUUGGAAGAGAAGCAUUGACUCAAGCUAUAGGAUAUGCCACUUAAAAUGUCCAGAUCUUGGCACAAGGCCUGGCGCACAGUGUGGGAGAGAAGGAGAGAAGAAGGUGGAAGGAAAGGAGGGAGGGGAAAGAGGAAGCAGGGAGGGAGAAAAUAAGACAAGGGCCUCCUCAUCUGGAUGCUUCCCUAGACCAAGAAGUGGCCCAGGUGGUGCCCAGGGGACAGGGAGUGGGCAAUAAAAGACAAUGGGGUGUAGGUGAUAGGGUGUAGAUGAUCAGGGUAUAGGUGAUCAGGAUGUAGGUGAUGGGGUGUAGAUGACUGGGGUAUAGAUGAUUGAAGUGUAGGUGAUGGGGUAUAGAUGAUCGAGGUGUAGGUGAUGGGGUAUAGAUGAUUGAGGUGUAGGUGAUGGGGUGUAGGUGAUGGGGGUCAAGGUGAUCAAGGUGUAGGUGAUGGGGUGUUGGUGAUUGGGGUGUAGGUGAUCAGGGUGUAAGUGAUGGGGUAUAGGUGGUGGGGUGUAGAUGAUCGGGGUGUAGGUGAUGGGUAUAGGUGAUGGGGUAUAGAUGAUCAGGUUGUAGGUGAUCGGGGUAUAGGUGAUCAGGUUGUAGGUGAUGGGGUGUAGAUGAUUGGGAUAUAGAUGAUCGAGAUGUAGGUGAUGGGGUAUAGAUGAUCAAGGUGUAGGUGAUGGGGUAUAGAUGAUUGAGGUGUAGGUGAUGGGGGUCAAGGUGAUCAAGGUGUUGGUGAUGGGGUGUUGGUGAUCGGGGUGUAAGUGAUGAGGUAUAGGUGGUGGGGUGUAGAUGAUUGGGGUGUAGGUGAUGGGGUGUAGGUGACGGGUAUAGGUGAUGGGGUAUAGAUGAUCAGGGUGUAGGUGAUUGGGGUAUAGGUGAGCAGGGUGUAAGUGAAGGGGUAUAGGUGGUGGGGUAUAGAUGAUCAGGUGUAGGUGACUGGGGUUUGGGUGAUGGGGUGUAGGUGAUGGGGUAUAGAUGAUUGAGGUAUCGGUGAUGGGGGUCAAGGUGAUCAAGGUGUAGGUGAUGGGGUGUUGGUGAUUGGGGUGUAGGUGAUUGGGGUGUAGGUGAUCGGGGUGUAGGUGACCAGGGUAUAGGUGAUCAGGGUGUAGGUGAUGGGAUGUAGGUGAUCAGGGUCAAGGUGAUUGAGGUGUAGGUGAUGGGAUGUUGGCAACCAGGGUGUAGGUGAUCAGGAUGUAGGUGAUGGGGUGUAGACGAUCAGGGUGUAGGUGAUGGGCUGUUGCUGACCAGGGUGUAGGUGAUCAGGGUGUAGGUGAUCCGAACUUCCUACUCAAUUCAGGCAACAGCUCCCAGCCUGAGGCAAAUACCCCCCGAGGCAGUCAGGGUCUCACCUCCCAUGGCUCUGACGCAGGCCUCCAAGGUGAGGAGAUGGAGGUAGCAGAGGUCACUUCACUCAGCUGUCACACACCCUGAGGGAACUCCUGUCACUGUUAUCCCACCUGCAAGUGAGGAGCCAGCAUUUCUCAUGCUCCAGGGUUGGCCACAGAGCCCAUUCAAGGGAGGGAGAAGAGCCUUCGGCCAGCGCAUCCUAACCGCAGAAAGCCAAGACCUCUGCAGAAAAAGAGACCAGGCCCAUAAAAAGAGAUCCAUGAGUUGAGUUCCCUGCCAUGCCACCCCCAGGCAUCUCUGCCCACCAGCCUGCAUGAGCCAGCCCCUCAGUGCAGGUUUUUCCAAUUGGCCGUUUGUUCUUCCACCCAACACUCAAGAUUUGCUUCUCAGCCUGGACAACAUAGCAAAACCCCAUCUCUACAAAAAAUACAAAAAUUAGCUGGGCAUAGUGGCACACACCUAUAGUCCCAGCUACUCGGGAGGCUGAAGUGGGAAGAUUACCUGAGCCUGGGAGGUCAAGGUUGCAGUGAGCCAUGAUCAUGCCACUGUACUCCAGCCUGGGUGACAGAGUGAGAACUUGUCUCAAAAACAAAAAAAGAGAGGAAGAUCUGCUUCUUCAAACCCACACAACUAAUAUAAAGUAAUCAACCUCCCCACCUCAAUAACCUGAAGUUAAACAUCACACAAUAAGCCCUGAACAGAGAGCUGUAGGUCAAUGUUCCAUUUUGCUUUUAAAAGCUUCACAAGAACAUUUCAUUUAUUAAAAUAGUUUCUGUAAACUCUUUCAGAAUAACAAAAUUCACUUGCCUUGCUUAAACAGCAUUUCAAGUAGAAGUAUUUUUAUUUCAAGGCACCAUAAAAUGAUGAUCUCUCUAAGAAAUACCUCUCCUUC